AAUGAACGUUGGCGGCGUGGAUUAGGCAUGCGAGUCGAGCGAGAACCGUAGCAAUACGGGGACAGCGGCGAAAGGGACAGUAACGGGUAGAUUAUCUGCCCUCAGGUUUGGGAUAGCUGCGGGAAACUGCAAGUAAUACCAAAUAAUAUCUCCGGAUCAAAGGUGUGAUUCCGCCUGAGGAUGAGUCUGCCUCCUAUUAGCUUGUUGGUGGGGUAACGGCCUACCAAGGCAUUGAUGGGUAGCGGGUGUGAGAGCACGACCCGCGUCAUUGGGACUGAGACACUGCCCGGAAACCUACGGGUGGCUGCAGUCGAGAAUCUUCGGCAAUGGACGCAAGUCUGACCGAGCGACGCCGCGUGUGGGAUGAAGGCCUUCGGGUUGUAAACCACUGUCAGAGGGGAUGAAAUGCAGGUGGGUACUCCCAUUUGUUUGACAUAGCCUCAGAGGAAGUACGGGCUAAGUUCGUGCCAGCAGCCGCGGUAA
RNAcentral lists this ribosomal RNA (483 nucleotides) under uncultured bacterium. RNAcentral's name for it is "partial 16S ribosomal RNA". It matches the Rfam family "Bacterial small subunit ribosomal RNA", at positions 29 to 523 of the family's 1533-position model. The record is from RNAcentral.